RNAcentral lists this ribosomal RNA (250 nucleotides) under uncultured bacterium. RNAcentral describes it as "partial 16S ribosomal RNA". It matches the Rfam family "Bacterial small subunit ribosomal RNA", at positions 355 to 621 of the family's 1533-position model. The record is from RNAcentral.
UAGGGAAUCUUCCACAAUGGGCGAAAGUCUGAUGGAGCAGUACCGCGUGAUGGAUGAAGGCCCUCGGGUCGUAAACAUCUUUUCUCUGUGACGAAUAUGACGGUAGCAGAGGAAUAAGGGUCGGCUAACUACGUGCCAGCAGCCGCGGUCAUACGUAGGACCCAAGCGUUAUCCGGAUUUACUGGGCGUAAAGAGUUGCGUAGGUGGCUAAGUAAGUAAAUAGUGAAAUCGUGUGGCUCAACCAUACACC